CAGCACCUCAAGUGGUCAGGAUGAUUAUUGGGCCUAAAGCAUCCGUAGCCGGCGCUGUAAGUUUUCGGUUAAAUCUGUACGCUCAACGUCCAGGCUGCCGGGAAUACUGCAGCGCUAGGGAGUGGGAGAGGUAGACGGUACUCGGUAGGAAGGGGUAAAAUCCUUUGAUCUAUUGAUGACCACCUGUGGCGAAGGCGGUCUACCAGAACACGUCCGACGGUGAGGGAUGAAAGCUGGGGGAGCAAACCGGAUUAGAGACCCGAGUAGUCC
This 270-nucleotide ribosomal RNA is filed under the name uncultured archaeon. RNAcentral's name for it is "partial 16S ribosomal RNA". It matches the Rfam family "Archaeal small subunit ribosomal RNA", at positions 477 to 747 of the family's 1478-position model. The record is from RNAcentral.